RNAcentral lists this long non-coding RNA (682 nucleotides) under Helianthus annuus (common sunflower). The record is from RNAcentral. Lineage: Eukaryota; Viridiplantae; Streptophyta; Magnoliopsida; Asterales; Asteraceae.
AAUUUAUUACUUUAUAAUCAGGUCUCAUUUCACUCUUUGAACCAACUAUGCAAGCUCGCUUUGCAUGUCUUAUGUCUAGCAAGUAUCUCGGACAUAGCUGCCUACUACAUGUGGUAUUACAUGUGUUCCAAAUGCCCAAAAAUGGUUUACCCCAAGAACAAUCAUUUUGUGUGUGCAGACCAUGAUAUCAUACCUUAUCCCAAGUACAUGUAUUGUGUUAACGCCACGAUAAAUGACCACACUUCAGACGAUUAAGUGUAUUCUUAAGUGAGGCGAUGAUGACUGAUAUUUCAAGCAUAAAUUGUACGCUGAUGAUGCACUUCUUAUUGAGCAUUGGUCUAUAAGAGGAGUUGGUUAGAUGUGUGUAAAGCAUAAUUGCCUAAACAUUUUGGCAUAUAUAGAAGUACCGAAGGCCCUCUUGGAAGGCGAUUUAAGACUUUAAGUGGUGUGCCUCGUGACAGUCAAACUUAGUGUGAACUCAUAAAGAGGAGCUCAUCUUUUAAGAGGUGAGAUUCAAUAUGCGCAAGGUAACUAAAGGAAAUGUAACGAUAAAGUCGUGUGGAUCUUGGAGGGCAACCAUGAUUUUGAAGUGUGUGCGAGAGAUAUUGUUGUGCAGUUUCUGCUAUCAUGUAAAAUAUUUUCACGAAAAUACUUUUAUGAAAAAAAUUUACUUGUGAUUUGU